GGGAGCUUGCUCCCGGAUGUUAGCGGCGGACGGGUGAGUAACACGUGGGUAACCUGCCUGUAAGACUGGGAUAACUCCGGGAAACCGGAGCUAAUACCGGAUAGUUCCUUGAACCGCAUGGUUCAAGGAUGAAAGACGGUUUCGGCUGUCACUUACAGAUGGACCCGCGGCGCAUUAGCUAGUUGGUGAGGUAACGGCUCACCAAGGCGACGAUGCGUAGCCGACCUGAGAGGGUGAUCGGCCACACUGGGACUGAGACACGGCCCAGACUCCUACGGGAGGCAGCAGUAGGGAAUCUUCCGCAAUGGACGAAAGUCUGACGGAGCAACGCCGCGUGAGUGAUGAAGGUUUUCGGAUCGUAAAGCUCUGUUGUUAGGGAAGAACAAGUGCAAGAGUAACUGCUUGCACCUUGACGGUACCUAACCAGAAAGCCACGGCUAACUACGUGCCAGCAGCCGCGGUAAUACGUAGGUGGCAAGCGUUGUCCGGAAUUAUUGGGCGUAAAGGGCUCGCAGGCGGUUUCUUAAGUCUGAUGUGAAAGCCCCCGGCUCAACCGGGGAGGGUCAUUGGAAACUGGGAAACUUGAGUGCAGAAGAGGAGAGUGGAAUUCCACGUGUAGCGGUGAAAUGCGUAGAGAUGUGGAGGAACACCAGUGGCGAAGGCGACUCUCUGGUCUGUAACUGACGCUGAGGAGCGAAAGCGUGGGGAGCGAACAGGAUUAGAUACCCUGGUAGUCCACGCCGUAAACGAUGAGUGCUAAGUGUUAGGGGGUUUCCGCCCCUUAGUGCUGCAGCUAACGCAUUAAGCACUCCGCCUGGGGAGUACGGUCGCAAGACUGAAACUCAAAGGAAUUGACGGGGGCCCGCACAAGCGGUGGAGCAUGUGGUUUAAUUCGAAGCAACGCGAAGAACCUUACCAGGUCUUGACAUCCUCUGACAACCCUAGAGAUAGGGCUUUCCCUUCGGGGACAGAGUGACAGGUGGUGCAUGGUUGUCGUCAGCUCGUGUCGUGAGAUGUUGGGUUAAGUCCCGCAACGAGCGCAACCCUUGAUCUUAGUUGCCAGCAUUCAGUUGGGCACUCUAAGGUGACUGCCGGUGACAAACCGGAGGAAGGUGGGGAUGACGUCAAAUCAUCAUGCCCCUUAUGACCUGGGCUACACACGUGCUACAAUGGACAGAACAAAGGGCUGCGAGACCGCAAGGUUUAGCCAAUCCCACAAAUCUGUUCUCAGUUCGGAUCGCAGUCUGCAACUCGACUGCGUGAAGCUGGAAUCGCUAGUAAUCGCGAUCAGCA
Molecule: ribosomal RNA, 1293 nt
Filed under: Bacillus pumilus
Lineage: Bacteria; Bacillati; Bacillota; Bacilli; Caryophanales; Bacillaceae
Description: bacterial SSU rRNA
Rfam family: Bacterial small subunit ribosomal RNA
Source: RNAcentral